This 56-nucleotide non-coding RNA is filed under the name Sus scrofa (pig). RNAcentral also lists the same sequence under 3 other names. The record is from RNAcentral. Lineage: Eukaryota; Metazoa; Chordata; Mammalia; Artiodactyla; Suidae.
GUGGGUGGAAUAGUAUAACAAUAUAACAUGUGUUGUUAUAGUAUUCCACCUUCCCU